Molecule: ribosomal RNA, 255 nt
Filed under: uncultured bacterium
Lineage: Bacteria
Description: partial 16S ribosomal RNA
Rfam family: Bacterial small subunit ribosomal RNA
Source: RNAcentral
UACGAAGGGGGCGAGCGUUGUUCGGAAUCACUGGGCGUAAAGGGCGCGUAGGCGGCUCAUGAAGGCUGUGGUGAAAGUCCGGGGCUCAACCUCGGAUCGGCCGUGGCGACUCGUGGGCUGGAGCACUGUAGAGGCGGGUGGAAUUCCGGGUGUAGCGGUGGAAUGCGUAGAGAUCCGGAGGAAGACCGGUGGCGAAGGCGGUCUGCUGGGCAGUUUCUGGACACUGAGGCGCGACAGCGUGGGGAGCAAACAGGG